UACAGAGGUCCCAAGCGUUGUUCGGAUUCAUUGGGCGUAAAGGGUGCGUAGGCGGCGCGGUAAGUCGGGUGUGAAAUCUCGGGGCUUAACUCCGAAACUGCAUUCGAUACUACCGUGCUUGAGGACUGGAGAGGAGACUGGAAUUUACGGUGUAGCGGUGAAAUGCGUAGAUAUCGGAAGGAAGACCAGUGGCGAAGGCGGGUCUCUGGACAGUUCCUGACGCUGAGGCACGAAGGCCAGGGGAGCAAACGGG
This 253-nucleotide ribosomal RNA is filed under the name uncultured bacterium. RNAcentral describes it as "partial 16S ribosomal RNA". It matches the Rfam family "Bacterial small subunit ribosomal RNA", at positions 524 to 776 of the family's 1533-position model. The record is from RNAcentral.